AAAGGAAUAGACGGGGGCCCGCACAAGCAGUGGAUUAUGUGGUUUAAUUCGACGCAACGCGAAGAACCUUACCGGGAUUUGACAUCCUACUAACGAGGCAGAGAUGCGUUAGGUACCCUUCGGGGGAAGUAGAGACAGGUGGUGCAUGGUUGUCGUCAGCUCGUGUCGUGAGAUGUUGGGUUAAGUCCCGCAACGAGCGCAACCCUUAUUGUUAGUUGCUACGCAAGAGCACUCUAGCAAGACUGCCGUUGACAAAACGGAGGAAGGCGGGGACGACGUCAAAUCAUCAUGCCCCUUAUGUCCCGGGCUACACACGUAAUACAAUGGCGGCUAACAAAGGGAGGCGAAACCGCGAGGUGGAGCAAACCCCCAAAAGCCGUCUCAGUUCGGAUUGCAGGCUGCAACUCGCCUGCAUGAAGUUGGAAUUGCUAGUAAUCGUGGAUCAGCAUGCCACGGUGAAUACGUUCCCGGGCCUUGUACACACCGCCCGU
Molecule: ribosomal RNA, 491 nt
Filed under: uncultured bacterium
Lineage: Bacteria
Description: bacterial SSU rRNA
Rfam family: Bacterial small subunit ribosomal RNA
Source: RNAcentral